Molecule: long non-coding RNA, 1343 nt
Organism: Gallus gallus (chicken)
Lineage: Eukaryota; Metazoa; Chordata; Aves; Galliformes; Phasianidae
Source: Ensembl
CACACGGUGGUAGGAGAAGCCCCCGGCAGCGCUGCGGGCCCCUCUGUGCUCCAUUCCCUCCCCCCACCCACAGCCCCGGCCACAGCUGCGACGAAUGGAGAGCAAAAAGCUCUCCUCCGAAGGGCUGAGGGAUCGGCCAGCAGCAGUGCUGGGUGCCAAACUGCCGCAGCUCAGCUCGGGGGUUGCGUUCACUGAGCUCUGAAGGUUCUGGACUCCCCGUUCUGCAGUGCAGGAGCUGCACCUCUGAAGGCCAUCUGGUCCCACCCCCUGCGAUAAGCGGGGACACCCACAGCUCCAUCAGGUGCUCAGAGCCCACCCAGUCUGACCUUGGCUGUACCCAUGGAUGGGACGUCCACCACCACAGCACUCAGCUCUCCAGGAGCAGGCUGACACACGGACCUGGAGGAGAAGGGCAAGUUGUCGUGGCCGGCGCUGGCGCAGCAGUAGAAGCCCUGCAGGGUUUUCACCACCCGUCCUCUCGCUGGGCUGAUGUUUGAUUGCAUCCCACAGCAGCAGACUGGAGGAAGGGAGUUAAUUUUAACUGAACAAACAAAGCAGGAAGCCACUGCUAAUUAGACACAGAUGAAUCUCGGCUGGCUCCCUGGGUGUUCCGGGAGCUGUUUUUCCAGCGCUAAUAAUCCAGCCUACAACAAUGAAUGAAGCAGAUAUUGUUUGUUGUUGCUAAUAGAUGCUGAUGAUAACUCCAUCCGCAGCGCUGAGGCUCACACCAGGUAGCACAGGUCGCACAGUGAGGUGGUGGCAGGGGAAGGGCAGGGCCGGGUGCCCUGCAGGUGCUGCCCGUUGUGCUCCUUUGAGCCAAUUUGCUUCCCCUGAGAGCAGCAGCCACGCCAGCACGUUGCUUCAGCUUUGGGUUUGGCUGCAGGAAUGGAGCAUCCUUAACUCCAGGAGGGUGACCUGCAUCCCAUGGAUGGGGUAGAGCAGACUGGGUGCUGGUGCACGGAGGAGCCACGGCUGCUGAUGAACUCAGGACCUGCAUCCCCCCACCUGCUGGCUCCUUCCUCAGGACCUGCAUCCUGCUCUACUCCAUGGUUACAUGACGGAGAAAUGGACCCACUAACAAGCUGCAUGCUGCUAACAAGCAGUUUGCCAUUCCCAUGCUAUAGUCCAAGGCGCACUGCCAUGUGUCUGUGCAGCAGCAACUCAGCUGAAGAAACCCUUGAAGACUUCAUGGCGUGGAACAACACGAGGGGAUGGCACAGAGCACUGCCUGCCUCUGCCGCCCAGCCGCCUCAGCUGUGCCUUUUGGCUCCAGGAGUGUUUCCCUGGGGAACUUCAGCAGCAAAACCCCAAGCCGUUUGCUUCGAGAUUCUCCACUCUUGACA